This 72-nucleotide transfer RNA is filed under the name Stegodyphus mimosarum. It matches the Rfam family "tRNA". From Rfam's summary of the family: Transfer RNA (tRNA) molecules are approximately 80 nucleotides in length. Their secondary structure includes four short double-helical elements and three loops (D, anti-codon, and T loops). Lineage: Eukaryota; Metazoa; Arthropoda; Arachnida; Araneae; Eresidae. The record is from Rfam by way of RNAcentral.
GCUUUUGUGGUGCAAUGGUUAGCACAUUUGGUGCAUAUUCGAGAGGACCAUGUUCGAAUCCUGGCGAGGGCA